Molecule: microRNA precursor, 96 nt
Organism: Chinchilla lanigera (long-tailed chinchilla)
Lineage: Eukaryota; Metazoa; Chordata; Mammalia; Rodentia; Chinchillidae
Source: Ensembl
CUGCAUGUUCCCAGGUUGAGGUAGUAGGUUGUAUAGUUUAGAAUUACAUCAAGGGAGAUAACUGUACAGCCUCCUAGCUUUCCUUGGGUCUUGCAC